RNAcentral lists this long non-coding RNA (284 nucleotides) under Drosophila guanche. Lineage: Eukaryota; Metazoa; Arthropoda; Insecta; Diptera; Drosophilidae. The record is from RNAcentral.
CAUCAUCCUACAAUGUGCUACAUGGGGGCUUGCCAAAAAAAAAAAAACAAACACAAACAAAAACCUUGACAGUGUCAACGGGGUUCAACAUGGCGGAAGCAGGCGACCGCCAGUAUGCUGCACACACGAAAAAUGUAAUCCGAAUUUUGGUAAUUAUAAAUUUGGUAAAGUCUUUAAAGCUGUCUUUUCUUCGCAGAGUGUACAAAUAGCCAUUAAAUGGGCGACACAUUAACCCACAUGAGAUUGAAAGAUUGAAAGUGCAUUUUAACGCAUCAAUCAAGAAG